RNAcentral lists this ribosomal RNA (493 nucleotides) under uncultured bacterium. Its description in RNAcentral is "partial 16S ribosomal RNA". It matches the Rfam family "Bacterial small subunit ribosomal RNA", at positions 29 to 523 of the family's 1533-position model. The record is from RNAcentral.
AUUGAACGCUGGCGGCAUGCUUUACACAUGCAAGUCGAACGGUAACAGGUUAAGCUGACGAGUGGCGAACGGGUGAGUAAUGCAUCGGAACGUGCCCGAUCGUGGGGGAUAACGCAGCGAAAGCUGCGCUAAUACCGCAUACGAUCUGAGGAUGAAAGCGGGGGACCGUAAGGCCUCGCGCGAUCGGAGCGGCCGAUGUCAGAUUAGGUAGUUGGUGGGGUAAAGGCUCACCAAGCCAACGAGCUGUAGCUGGUCUGAGAGGACGACCAGCCACACUGGGACUGAGACACGGCCCAGACUCCUGCGGGAGGCAGCAGUGGGGAAUUUUGGACAAUGGGCGAAAGCCUGAUCCAGCAAUGCCGCGUGCAGGAAGAAGGCCUUCGGGUUGUAAACUGCUUUUGUACGGAGCGAAAAGGCUCUCUCUAAUACAGGGGGCUCAUGACGGUACCGUAAGAAUAAGCACCGGCUAACUACGUGCCAGCCGCCGCGGUAA